This 492-nucleotide ribosomal RNA is filed under the name uncultured bacterium. RNAcentral describes it as "partial 16S ribosomal RNA". It matches the Rfam family "Bacterial small subunit ribosomal RNA", at positions 28 to 505 of the family's 1533-position model. The record is from RNAcentral.
GGCGAACGCUGGCGGCGUGCUUAACACAUGCAAGUCGAACGGAAAGGCCUGCUUUCCCUUGUGGAUUGCGGGUACUCGAGUGGCGAACGGGUGAGUAACACGUGAGUGAUCUGCCCCCAACUUGGGUAUAAGCCUGGGAAACUGGGUCUAAUUCCCGAUAGGACUGCAGGGUGGUGCCUGUGGUGGAAAACGAUUUUCUAGUGGUUGGGGAUGGGCUCGCGGCCUAUCAGCUUGUUGGUGGGGUAAUGGCCUACCAAGGCGGCGACGGGUAGCCGGCCUGAGAGGGUGGACGGCCACAUUGGGACGGAGAUACGGCCCAGACUCGUACGGGAGGCAGCAGUGGGGAAUAUUGCACAAUGGGCGGAAGCCUGAUGCAGCGACGCCGCGUGGGGGAUGACGGCCUUCGGGUUGUAAACUCCUUUCGACCGAGAGGAAGCCACCUGGUUGGAAGGGUGGUGACGGUAGUGGUAGAAGAAGCACCGGCUAACUACG